RNAcentral lists this ribosomal RNA (677 nucleotides) under Paraclostridium bifermentans. RNAcentral describes it as "bacterial SSU rRNA". It matches the Rfam family "Bacterial small subunit ribosomal RNA", at positions 61 to 763 of the family's 1533-position model. The record is from RNAcentral. Lineage: Bacteria; Bacillati; Bacillota; Clostridia; Peptostreptococcales; Peptostreptococcaceae.
GUCGAGCGAUCUCUUCGGAGAGAGCGUCGCGUAUCGGGUGAGUAACGCGUGGGUAACCUGCCCUGUACACACGGUAUAACAUACCGAAGGGUAUACUAAUACGGGAAUAACAUAUGAAAGUCGCAUGGUUUUUGUAUCAAAGCUCCGGCGGUACAGGAUGGACCCGCGUCUGAUUAGCUAGUUGGUAAGGUAAUGGCUUACCAAGGCAACGAUCAGUAGCCGACCUGAGAGGGUGAUCGGCCACACUGGAACUGAGACACGGUCCAGACUCCUACGGGAGGCAGCAGUGGGGAAUAUUGCACAAUGGGCGAAAGCCUGAUGCAGCAACGCCGCGUGAGCGAUGAAGGCCUUCGGGUCGUAAAGCUCUGUCCUCAAGGAAGAUAAUGACGGUACUUGAGGAGGAAGCCCCGGCUAACUACGUGCCAGCAGCCGCGGUAAUACGUAGGGGGCUAGCGUUAUCCGGAAUUACUGGGCGUAAAGGGGGCGUAGGUGGUUUUUUAAGUCAAAAGUGAAAGGCUACGGCUCAACCGUAGUAAGCUUUUGAAACUAGAGAACUUGAGUGCAGGACAGGAGAGUAGAAUUCCUAGUGUAGCGGUGAAAUGCGUAGAUAUUAGGAGGAAUACCAGUAGCGAAGGCGGCUCUCUGGACUGUAUCUGACACUGAGGCACGAAAGCGUG